Non-coding RNA from Plectropomus leopardus (leopard coralgrouper), 126 nucleotides. RefSeq annotates it as small Cajal body-specific RNA 11. Lineage: Eukaryota; Metazoa; Chordata; Actinopteri; Perciformes; Serranidae. The record is from RefSeq and is a predicted model, not a curated record.
CUGUCCUCCUCCGUCUGUCUGUGACGGUGUGAAGGACAUCAGACCGAGGACGCAGAGAAACCUCUGCCCAUUAAAGGGGACACGUCCAAAGGUGUGGACUUUGUCCUAAAGGCAGGGCAGGACAAA